Molecule: transfer RNA, 68 nt
Filed under: Candidatus Aminicenantota bacterium
Lineage: Bacteria; Candidatus Aminicenantota
Description: tRNA-Gln
Rfam family: tRNA
About the family: Transfer RNA (tRNA) molecules are approximately 80 nucleotides in length. Their secondary structure includes four short double-helical elements and three loops (D, anti-codon, and T loops).
Source: RNAcentral
CAGGGAGAAGUCUGCUAGGACACAUGACUCUGGAUCAUGGAAUCGGGGUUCGAAUCCCUGCUUCCCAU